RNAcentral lists this ribosomal RNA (1858 nucleotides) under Karotomorpha sp. RAPI1. RNAcentral describes it as "SSU rRNA". It matches the Rfam family "Eukaryotic small subunit ribosomal RNA". The record is from RNAcentral. Lineage: Eukaryota; Bigyra; Opalinata; Proteromonadidae.
CUGGUUGAUCCUGCCAGUAAUCAUACGCUCGUCUCAAAGAUUAAGCCAUGCAAGUCUAAGUAUAAGCAACUAUACAGUGAAACUGCGAAUGGCUCAUUAUAUCAGUUAUCGUUUCAUUGAUGUAAUUUACUACAUGGAUAACCGUAGUAAUUCUAGAGCUAAUACAUGCCCAAAAUUCUCUCGCAAGGGAGAAGCAUUUAUUAGACCAAAACCAACCCGCAAGGUUCGGUGAUUCAUAAUAACUAGUAGAUCGCAGUGGAGCAAUCCGGCGAUGAAUCAUUCAAGUUUCUGCCCUAUCAGCUUUCGAUGGUAGUGUAUUGGACUACCAUGGCGGUAACGGGUAACGAAGAAUUUGGGUUCGAUUUCGGAGAGGGAGCCUGAGAUACGGCUACCACAUCCAAGGAAGGCAGCAGGCGCGUAAGUUACCCAACCCUGACACAGGGAGGUAGUGACAAGAAAUAACGAUGCGUGGCCUUUGGCUUCGCAAUUGUGCUGAGUGCAAUCUAAAUCCCUCAGCGAAUCCAUUGGAGGGCAAGUCUGAUGCCAGCAGCCGCGGUAACUUCAGCUCCAAUAGCGUAUAUUAACAUUGUUGCAUUUAAAAAGCUCGUAGUUGAAUUUGUGCAUCAAACAGGAUGUCGUUAAGAGUCGUGUGAGUUCAGUCGGUGGGUCUGUGGCAACACGGGUCUGUCGAUUUCUCCUCGGCCCUUGUACGUCUUGUAUGGGUGCAACCUUGCAUGGUUUUAUCUGGUAUUCAUUUACUGGUUAAAGUUAUGCAUCUUUUACUGUGAGAAAAUUAGAGUGUUUAAAGCAGGCAUGACUCGCUUGAAUACAUUAGCAUGGAAUAAUAAGAUAGGACUAUUUGUACUAUUUUGUUGGUUGCGUACAAAAGUAAUGAUUAAUAGGGACAGUUGGGGGUAUUCAUAUUUCAUAGUCAGAGGUGAAAUUCUGGGAUUUAUGAAAGAUGAACAAGUGCGAAAGCAUUUACCAAGGAUGUUUUCAUUAAUCAAGAACGAAAGUUAGGGGAUCAAAGAGGCUUAGAUACCCUCGUAGUCUUAACUAUAAACGAUAACACCUAGGGAUUGGUUCGUAAGCUAUAGUUACGUAUCAGCACCUUAUGGGAAACCAAAGGGUUUGGCUUAUGGGGGGAGUACGGUCGCAAGGCCGAAACUUAAAGGAAUUGACGGAAGGGCACACCAGAUAUGGGUUAUGCGGCUUAAUUUGACUCAACACGGGGAAACUUACCAGGUCCAGACACAGUUAGGAUUGACAGAUUGAAGCUCUUUCUUGAUUCUGUGGGUGGUGGUGCAUGGCCGUUCUUAGUUGGUGGAGUGAUUUGUCUGGUUAAUUCCGAUAACGAACGAGACCUCCGCCUGCUAAAUAGUUUCGUCAUAUUCGUAUGACGUAAUCCUUUUUUAAACUUCUUAGAGGGACACUGGAUGUAGAUUCCAGGGAAGUUGGAGGCAAUAACAGGUCUGUGAUGCCCUUAGAUGUUCUGGGCCGCACGUGUGACACACUGAUAUAUUCAACAAGUUGAUCUGCGGAGUCGCGCAAGCGGUUCCGCAUUCCUUGACUGAGAAGUCUGGGUAAUCUUUUGAAGAUAUAUCGUGUUUGGGAUUGAUGCUUGUAAUUAUUCAUCAUGAACGAGGAACACCUAGUAAGUGCAGGUCAUCAGCCUGCGCUGAAUACGUCCCUGCCCUUUGUACACACCGCCCGUCGCACCUACCGAUUGGAUGGUCCGGUGAAAACUAUGGAGGACUUGACGAGUCAAAUCGUCGAGUCCGAAGUUGUUUAAAUCUUAUCAUCUAGAGGAAGGUGAAGUCGUAACAAGGUUUCUGUAGGUGAACCUGCAGAAGGAUCA